GCGGGCGUGGCGGAAUGGCAGACGCGCCAGACUUAGGAUCUGGUGCCGAAAGGCGUAAGAGUUCAAGUCUCUUCGUCCGCACCA
This 84-nucleotide transfer RNA is filed under the name Clostridia bacterium. Its description in RNAcentral is "tRNA-Leu(tag)". It matches the Rfam family "tRNA". From Rfam's summary of the family: Transfer RNA (tRNA) molecules are approximately 80 nucleotides in length. The record is from RNAcentral. RNAcentral also lists the same sequence under 1 other name. Lineage: Bacteria; Bacillati; Bacillota; Clostridia.